RNAcentral lists this unclassified non-coding RNA (234 nucleotides) under uncultured Planctomycetota bacterium. RNAcentral's name for it is "uncultured planctomycete contains 16S-23S intergenic spacer region". The record is from RNAcentral. Lineage: Bacteria; Pseudomonadati; Planctomycetota.
ACACGUCAUCCCUGUUUCCAGGGACUAAUCCGUACAUGUCAAACCCAGGUAAGGUUUUGCGCGUUGCUUCGAAUUAAACCACAUGCUCCACCGCUCGUGUGAGCCCCCGUCAAUUCCUUUGAGUUUCGGCCUUGCGACUGUACUUCCCAGGCGGGGCACUUAACACAUUAGCUCCAGCAGGGAGAGCAUCGGAACUCCCCCUGCCUAGUGCCCAUCGUUUACGGCUUGGACUAC